RNAcentral lists this ribosomal RNA (253 nucleotides) under uncultured bacterium. RNAcentral's name for it is "partial 16S ribosomal RNA". It matches the Rfam family "Bacterial small subunit ribosomal RNA", at positions 524 to 776 of the family's 1533-position model. The record is from RNAcentral.
GACGUAGGGCGCGAGCGUUGUCCGGAUUUAUUGGGCGUAAAGCGCUCGUAGGCGGUUUGUCGCGUCUGCCGUGAAAGUCCGGGGCUCAACUCCGGAUCUGCGGUGGGUACGGGCAGACUAGAGUGAUGUAGGGGAGACUGGAAUUCCUGGUGUAGCGGUGAAAUGCGCAGAUAUCAGGAGGAACACCGAUGGCGAAGGCAGGUCUCUGGGCAUUAACUGACGCUGAGGAGCGAAAGCAUGGGGAGCGAACAGG